GCUUAACACAUGCAAGUCGAGGGGCAGCAUCAUCUUAGCUUGCUUUGAUGGAUGGCGACCGGCGCACGGGUGAGUAACACGUAUCCAACCUGCCGACAACACUGGGAUAGCCUUUCGAAAGAAAGAUUAAUACCGGAUGGCAUAAUUUUCCCGCAUGGGAUAAUUAUUAAAGAAUUUCGGUUGUCGAUGGGGAUGCGUUCCAUUAGGCAGUUGGCGGGGUAACGGCCCACCAAACCAACGAUGGAUAGGGGUUCUGAGAGGAAGGUCCCCCACAUUGGAACUGAGACACGGUCCAAACUCCUACGGGAGGCAGCAGUGAGGAAUAUUGGUCAAUGGACGAGAGUCUGGACCAGCCAAGUAGCGUGAAGGAUGACUGCCCUAUGGGUUGUAAACUUCUUUUAUACGGGAAUAAAGUUAGCCACGUGUGGCUUUUUGUAUGUACCGUAUGAAUAAGGAUCGGCUAACUCCGUGCCAGCAGCCGCGGUAAUACGGAGGAUCCGAGCGUUAUCCGGAUUUAUUGGGUUUAAAGGGAGCGUAGGCGGGUUGUUAAGUCAGUUGUGAAAGUUUGCGGCUCAACCGUAAAAUUGCAGUUGAUACUGGCGACCUUGAGUGCAACAGAGGUAGGCGGAAUUCGUGGUGUAGCGGUGAAAUGCUUAGAUAUCACGAAGAACUCCGAUUGCGAAGGCAGCUUACUGGAUUGUAACUGACGCUGAUGCUCGAAAGUGUGGGUAUCAAACAGGAUUAGAUACCCUGGUAGUCCACACAGUAAACGAUGAAUACUCGCUGUUGGCGAUAUACGGUCAGCGGCCAAGCGAAAGCAUUAAGUAUUCCACCUGGGGAGUACGCCGGCAACGGUGAAACUCAAAGGAAUUGACGGGGGCCCGCACAAGCGGAGGAACAUGUGGUUUAAUUCGAUGAUACGCGAGGAACCUUACCCGGGCUUAAAUUGCAACUGACGGAACCGGAAACGGUUCUUUCUUCGGACAGUUGUGAAGGUGCUGCAUGGUUGUCGUCAGCUCGUGCCGUGAGGUGUCGGCUUAAGUGCCAUAACGAGCGCAACCCUUACGGGUAGUUACCAUCAGGUUAUGCUGGGGACUCUACCCGGACUGCCGUCGUAAGAUGUGAGGAAGGUGGGGAUGACGUCAAAUCAGCACGGCCCUUACGUCCGGGGCUACACACGUGUUACAAUGGGGGGUACAGAAGGUAGCUACACGGCGACGUGGUGCUAAUCCCAAAAGCCUCUCUCAGUUCGGAUUGGAGUCUGCAACCCGACUCCAUGAAGCUGGAUUCGCUAGUAAUCGCGCAUCAGCCACGGCGCGGUGAAUACGUUCCCGGGCCUUGUACACACCGCCCGUCAAGCCAUGAAAGCCGGGGGUACCUGAAGUACGUAACCGCGAGGAGCGUCCUAGGGUAAAACUGGUGAUUGGGGCUAAG
RNAcentral lists this ribosomal RNA (1434 nucleotides) under uncultured organism. Its description in RNAcentral is "16S ribosomal RNA". It matches the Rfam family "Bacterial small subunit ribosomal RNA". The record is from RNAcentral.